This is a long non-coding RNA of Mustela erminea (ermine), 1821 nucleotides long. RefSeq lists it as uncharacterized. The record is from RefSeq and is a predicted model, not a curated record. The transcript has 3 exons. Lineage: Eukaryota; Metazoa; Chordata; Mammalia; Carnivora; Mustelidae.
CUGAUCAGUUGCCAAAUUUAAAACCCAGGAGAUUUUACAUAGAAGUCUGGAUUUUUGGUUCAUCUUGAAAAUUAUCUGGUCAUUCCAAGUCCACAUUCUCACAGAGUGACAUAGACUGUAGCUGAGUAGCUCCCUGGCCCACCUGGUUCCAUUGCUUCCUGGGCCCUAGAUGCAUUUGGUUUCCAGUCCCUGAACUAGAGUGAGCACCCACAGCAGCUAGCACUACACAGACCCAUCAUUGCUUAAUUCGACUACAGCCAAGGUUGCAAGCUGAUUAGGCCACAGAGCCCCAAAACCAAGAACUAGGGCCUUGGGGGUUUCCCAGGUAACUGAAGUAGCCCUCCCUGCUCAGGUUCACCCAGAGAGAAAAUGGAGGAAGGGAGCCAGCCCAGCAGCAUCACAGUCCCAUAGAGCAUCUGGGUGAGCAAGAAUCUAACUGAUUUUGCUGGAAGAAGGAAAGGUGUGCUAAGGCUGGAAAGACAUGGUAAUUUCCUCACUGGAAGAAUAUGAAAGAAAGUUAAGGCUGUUCCUCUAGAAGGCCCUUCAGUCCUUUUCUGCCUGGGUCACAAGAGAUGGUGUGUGGCAGGCAGAGAGCAGCUGUGCCAGCAGAAAACCUUCUCUGAAAACUUAGCUCCACGACUUACUGAGUGUGUGACCUUGGGCAAAUCACUUUACCUCUCCGAGCCUCGGGAGUCUACAACUCUAAAAUGGGGAUAAUAAACUUACCUUGUACAACCGUUGAAAGGAUUAAGGGAUAAUGGAUGCAGAACACUCAACACAAGUCUCACACAGACCGGGGACAGAAUGAAAGGAGCCAGUGAAUAAUCCCCAAAGCAUUCCUGCCUGCUGGAGGGAGACUCAGGACUGACUCAGGGCACCACCCAUCUAAGGGCAUCUUAUGCCAAGGCCUUAAAUGCCUGGGAUGAUGGUCAUCUCUGGUGCCCAAGACACUUUCCUGGAUGGGAGAGGAAACCCAAGGAUGGUUGUGGUCACUGGGAUGUUGAGUGCAAGGUCUACAAUUGGAGGCGGGCGUCUGCUGAGUCAGGUCUGGGAGAGCUGGCAGGAGGACCAUUUCUCUCCCCAGCACUCUGCCACUGCCGGCUGGGGGAGGUUGGGAGAGGAGCCAGAGGUCAUUUCCUCUGACUCAGCGGCCAUUCUCCUCCCAGAGGAGCUCCCCUGGAGGACAGAGCAUCUCCAUGUGGCACUGGCCUGCCUGCCAGCCAACCUGCAUGCCACCCAGUACAGUCUGGGCUUUGUGCUCAGACAAGAAAGAGACACUUGUGAUCCAGACAAUGGGCCGGGGCGCUCCCAUUGGCCUGAGCUUCAUCUUCCCUGGGUCAGCAAUGUCCUUUCCUCUGCUCCUGCCCACUCUGCUCCCACCACUCCCAGGAGAAUGGUGGCUUGGAACACGGAGCAGAAACCCACAACCGGCCUUAGUCGCGGUCUGACAUAUGCCCUGGCCAUGAGGAGGAGGAUGUGAGCUUCUUUCUUCUCCCCGGGUGGAAUGCUAUGGAAUGUUCCCCAACUCCUCUGUCCCCAGAAGCCUGAACUCAGUGGGAGGACAAUUCACAGGAUGAAGCAGAGCCGAGGGAUCAAGUCCUGGCAACACUGCACGAAACCCUGAUGCGGGCUCAACGCUAUGACCUUCUGGCCAAAUGAAGGAAUGAGCUCCAUGCCAGACACAAGCUUUAGCUGGGCUUCUGCCACCUGGAAUAUAAUGACUCGAGGAUGUCUCUGCCCAUGGGAUGCCUAACCCCCCAAGAUACUCAGUAAAUGGGUGAGAUCAGCACCACGAGGUGUGGUGGGCGCCGAUAUUCAGCC